RNAcentral lists this ribosomal RNA (945 nucleotides) under Triticum aestivum (bread wheat). RNAcentral describes it as "partial small subunit ribosomal RNA". Lineage: Eukaryota; Viridiplantae; Streptophyta; Magnoliopsida; Poales; Poaceae. The record is from RNAcentral.
GUAUGUGUGAUCCAGCGUGUCCUAUGUUCCACACCACAACUCGAUGACACACAACGGAAGAAAAUAUUUGAGAGCAAAUGCAUGGUGAAUGGCAAGGUAUGCAAACUAGUGAUUGAUAGUUGCAGCUGCGAGAAUCUUAUCUCCCAGAAGUUGGUGGACCAUUUAAAGCUUGAAACCCAUGAUCAUCCAAAUCCCUACGCUAUUAGAUGGAUCAAGAAAGGAUUGAAUAUGAGGAUCACCAAACAAUGCAACCUGCCACUUUCUUUGGGUAAGCAUUAUCGCUCAAAUGUGUUGUGUGAUGUGGUUGACAUGGAUGCCAGCCAUGUUCUUCUUGGGAGGCCUUGGCAAUUUGAUGUGGAUACUACACACAAGGGCAAGGAAAAUUCUUACUCUUUCAUUUGGAACAAGAGAAGGAUCAUUAUCUUACCAAACAAACCCGAAGGUAAUACCUCUAAGGAGGAGGGGAAAACUAUGUUAACUAUCUCCCAUACCUCUCAUGAGUUUAUGGAAGACUUGAAGGAGGCAGAUUUGUGUGCUGCACUUGUUGUAAAGGGAGAAGAGUACCUGACUGUUGAAAUUCCAGCAAAGGUACGUGGUUUAUUGGUAGAAUUUCAGAACAUACUUGGGGAGCCACAUGGCUUGCCACCGAUGAGAGGAAUUCAACAUAGAAUUGACUUAAUUCCGGGAGCAAGUCUUCCUAAUAUUCCACACUAUCGAAUGAGCCCAAAGGAGCAUGGUAUAUUGAAGGAGAAAAUGGAGGAAUUGUUGCAAAAGGGGCACAUUCGAGAAAGUAUUAGCCCAUGUGCUAUACCAGCCCUACUCGCGCCAAAGAAAGAUGGAUCUUGGCGCAUGUGUACGGACAAUAGAGCCGUUAACAAGAUCACCGUAAGGUAUAGAUUCCCUAUUCCCCGUCUGGAUGAUAUGUUGGAUCAGCUUAGUGGAGCA